GGGAGCGUAGCACAAUGGCUAGUGCACUGCCCCGAUGUGGCAGGGGUUGCAGGUUCGAGUCCUGCCGCUCCCA
RNAcentral lists this transfer RNA (73 nucleotides) under Candidatus Iainarchaeum sp. Its description in RNAcentral is "tRNA-Ile". It matches the Rfam family "tRNA". Rfam says of the family: Transfer RNA (tRNA) molecules are approximately 80 nucleotides in length. Their secondary structure includes four short double-helical elements and three loops (D, anti-codon, and T loops). The record is from RNAcentral. Lineage: Archaea; Nanobdellati; Candidatus Iainarchaeota; Candidatus Iainarchaeia; Candidatus Iainarchaeales; Candidatus Iainarchaeaceae.